Pelmatolapia mariae (spotted tilapia) is the source of this 4654-nucleotide long non-coding RNA. RefSeq lists it as uncharacterized. The transcript has 3 exons. The record is from RefSeq and is a predicted model, not a curated record. NCBI's taxonomy places the organism in Eukaryota, Metazoa, Chordata, Actinopteri, Cichliformes, Cichlidae.
ACAUGCUGGGAUCAUUUUGGAGCAGUUCAAUGUGUGUGCGCCAUGUGUCAUAAUCAGUUUCAUUGUUAGGUCUGGGAACCUUACCGGAGAAGGAAUGGAGUCUCACCUGGGACUGGAUGUGUGGGACAUCUUGCCUUCGUACGAUAUGCUCUACCACGACCUUCUGAAUGUCAGAUACCUGUGUUAUCCCAGCGACAACAACUGCAUUAGAUAUUUUAACAGCAGACUUUUGUAUGAAAUCCAUACUGGUCAUCAGUGUUGGCAGGAUUGCCAGUCUUCUAGCUUGCUUACUUGCCACAAGUGCACUGUGCCACCUACCAACAGAAAGGAAAAAAUAAUGUACAUAUUUCCACGACAGAAAUCCCACGCCUGGACCAUCGUUGACUGCCACCAUGAUUCUAGCCCACGUCACAGCGUCAUGUACGCUUUUUACAUCCAACACGAAAACUGCAGUCGUGGUGCUUUCGAUUGUACUCAGAACUCGGAAAUUCUGCCUCCCGAAUAGGAAGAUGUAGGUAACUCCAGACUGCAGAUGAGCUGCAUACAGGGCUGGACUGGGACAAAAAAAAUUGGCCCGGGCAUUUUGACUAGAGACCGGCCCACUAUUAUAGGAAAAAUCAUAAAGCCUUUGAAUGAAAACAAACACUGGUGUGACAGUGAUGUACACUGUUUUGAUUGUAUAUAUGUAUCAAUCUAUAAAUUGUUUGUUGUAAGAUUCAGAUAAUUAUUUUUUAAAAGCUAGAUAUUUUAAAUGAGAAUAAGAAAGAAAAGUACUUCUUUGUGCCCCCCUCUGAUGUGAACAGUUAAGAUAAAGGAAAUAAUACCCUCUCUUCCUUUAUCAUUGGUGUAAAAGUGUUUUUUUCAUCUGGGCCAAACUAGUGUUUAGGAAACACAUGAUUUAUAUUCUUUUAUCAAUGUGUCAUUUUUUUUUAUUUUAUUUCAGUCUAACUCUACAGUAUCAGUAGUAAAUGCUGUUUAUCAUGCAUGCCUAUGCGAGGAUCCUCUGUGGUUCAAAAACCACAAAACUGCUGCCUGAUAUAGCCAUAUGGAGUGUUUGAGCCCUGCACAGCAGCAAAAACAAGUGCCUAUUACCUGCUCUUUCUCUACCCUGUUCUGAUGAAAAUCACCACUCUGAACAAGUACUCUCAGCUGGAAGCAAGAGACACCCACAGCACUGUAUGUUUAGCCAUCAUGACUAACCAGGCACCUGCUUGAUUUCCCUUUAAGGGAAAGAACACACUUUUGAGAUUUUUUUUAUAGCUAACUUUCAAGCAGUUCACUGAAUAGCAGGUCUAUUACUGACACUCUGCUUUGGAAGAGAAAAGAACAAAGAAAUUAUGGAGGUGUACAUGUAUCUUUUUACAUUAGCGCAACUCGCUUGUUCAUUUGUAAUUAAAAUGCAUUACAAAAUUACAUAUUACAUAUUCAGAGACAAAAAAAGGUGAGGAUAUCCAAUUCAUGUGGCUAACAAGGCUCAACACCAGAACCUCUCUUUCACUGAUUCCCUUUGUUUGUGUUAUGUAGUAUAAGAAUGAGCCAUAUAAAUCAUUGUCAGCUUGGUCAGAAACUGUUGAUGGAUCAGUCCCAAACUAUGGAGUUAAUUCAUUACAUAAUAUUACACUGGUGGAAGAAUCUUAUCUUAAUAUCUGUUUGGCUUAUGAUUGCCUUUGAUGAUAAUGAGACUUGUUUUUCCAGAAAGGAGACGCUGCUCCACAUCAUCACACUGUCUAAACAAAAACCUUUUACCCUAAUGGUCCAGCAGUCAGAAUAGCCUUCUCACCCUCUUCUCCAUCCAUCGACCCUAUGAUCCAACUGCUAUAGGCAGAACCUGGACUCAUCGCUGAAAACAACCUUCAGAUUCCAGUGCACAAGUUGUUGACACCAGUCCAAACAUUCUUGAUUGUGAAAGGCACUAAUAGCAGGCCUACUAACUAGCAGUCCUGUGAGACUAGUUGUGUGCAGUCUGUUCUGGAUUGCCUGGGUACACAGCUAGAUUGGCUGUAUCUGGGUGUCAGCAGCUCAAAACAAGAGUGAAUAACAGAAUAAGUUGUUUGGCAUUGGCAGGGAACAGUUGGCAGUUUUUUCAUGGGUACAAACCACCCUUCUGCUGCUCAACACACAAAUGCAUUUUCAUUACAAAUGUGGCACCAUUUAAGGGAAAGUAAACAGGCUUUCCAACAGUAUAUGAUUUAUUGCCAAGAAGCACUGUUACAACACUUAAUACAUUGAUCAAGCAUAAAUUUCCUAACUUCUGUGCUAAGUUUAGCUAUGAAAUAAGAAAACAGUAAUAUAUAUUCUGCAAAACUGGAAGUUAUUACACUUUUUCCCAAUAACAUAUGAUACAGAUUAUGGUCAGUAAUGUUUAGAGAUGUAUAGUAUAUGUUUCAGGCAUAGUGGUAGGCAUGUAGUAAAUAGUAAUCCUCCUUAAUCCUUUGCUGGCUAUAUCUAAAGUUGUCAGAUGGAGAUCUACAGAGAGUAUUAAAACUCUGUAUGGCCCCACUAAGGACCACCCACCAUGCACUGCUGCUUGCACAACAAAUAAAACAAGAUUCAGUUUAAAAUGCUAAAGUACUUCAUCUAUUUUACUGCCUAAAAUGUAAAAAAUAUUUUACUUUAUUUUGACAGGCAGAAGGAAAGAAGGAAUGGCACACAGAAGAUUUAUGGAUAUAGUGAAGGAGGUGCAUGCAGAGGGUCUUUACAGUGCUCUUACAGUUUUGAUGAAGGGAAAGCUGAAAUUAAGAAAUAAUUUUGGCUGACUCAUUUUUACCACAAAUGAGCCUACACAUGGCUCUGUAUACAUACUCAACAGUUUUCAUAACUUCAAAAGAGAAAUUAAAAAGAGAGUUACUUGUGGUGAAGACUAUUUUAACAGCACUUUAACAGCUUUAUUUUUUUCUGUUUGUCAUCAUCAUUAUUAUCAUCACUACAAAAACCCACCUCUGAACUCUAGACAUCUGUUAGAUGUGUAAUAAAGUAACUCUUUUCUAACAAUGAACAACUUCCAUGCAUAAACCCCCAAACAAAACAGCCAUAAUAAAAGUAAACAAUUAUUACUGUUUUAUUAUUUUAAGAUAACGCUGUAAAACCUUGUCUUUAUGAGUACAUAAAUGCCUCUGUUUACAUUGUACAUGAACACAAAGAGACAUGCAAUGGAUUAUACAGUCUUGCUACCUGUUUCACUCUCCUUUGCUGAUGGAAGGUGUAAACAAUGUACAAUAUGAAUUAUCCAACAGCAGAUGUUGUGUAAAGAUAAAAGAACACUUUCAGUACAUUUGUUAGUUAUUAAGGUACACACAGUGCAUAAAAAUAAUUUGUUAGCUUGUCCACAUAGUCUUUGCUGUAUAAUGUUUAGCUUUUCAUUCUAAAUGAUACAGGUUCUUAGGCAUUUAGUAGAGGAAAAGCUUCACUGAUGUACAUUCAAAAUUGUACAUUUAUUACAGUAUACUGCUACAGUGUAUAACAAAGGUGUGUGCUGACAGUUGGUGGGAUGAUUAUACUGCUUUUAAGCUUACAAAUUCUCAGAAUAAGCAGCGUUCCCCUCCAAGCUAAAUACAAUUUAAACUGAGCACUAUGUGUCUAACGGCAGGCGCUGAUGCAACAUGUGCGUGUCCUUGUCCACUCCUUUAACCUCACAGGGUUUGUUUUUCUAUUUGCUCCUCCCCUUGUAGCUCUGCUCUUGAUAUUAAGCUGCAAAGGGACUUUUUCCCCCAAUUGUCAGCAUUGCCACUGUCUGCCUGUGGACACAGUGGUCAGAUGUGCCUUUUAAUGCUCUGAAACUGAUCAGACAUGACAGGAUGAGGUUAAUCUACCUCAGGAGUUAAUGGGCUAGCUCACCAGGACUUCAUAGUAGGCUGUUUACAAAAGCGGGGAUUAUGUAUGUGCAAUAUCAAUGCCUUACUUUCAGUCUUAACACAUUCAUUAAUUCUCACUUUUUACCUUUUUAGGAGGAAAAGAAUGUGCUUACAAAGUGCUUACUAAAACACUUCAGCAUUACCAGUUGAUCAUUAUAAACUUAGAUUUAAGAAAGAGUUAAAAGGCAAUACAACUAGGAGAAAUUACACAAACACAUACACACACAGGUGCAAAUACAUAGAAAAUACUUUCUACAGUUUUUCCAGUUACAUUUUUCCCUUAUUAGCUUCUCAUUAUUGGCUUCAUUCAGAACUGCAUUUACAAUCCAUCUCCUCAUAUACUAUAUCUUGAAUAAUCAGGACCCAUUAUAUCUUAAAGACCUUGUAGUAUCUUACUAUCCUAAAAGAGGACUUCAUUCUCACAUUGUAGGUUUACUUGUGGUUACUAGAAUUUUCAAAACCCUCACUCAGUUAUGCUGCAUUGAGCUUAGGCUGUUGGGAGGCCUCCCAUGAUAUACUGUUUCUUUUUCAUUCAUUUCUUUUCGCUUCUAUGUAUUUAUAAACCUCUACUAUAUUUAAUCAUAAAUACUUAUUAAACUAUUAAACUAAGCUAUUUCUUCCAUAGUGUGUCUUUUGUCCUGUUUCUUUCUGCUCUCUCUCUCUUUCCCCUCACCCCUGACUGGUUGUGGGGAAUGGCCGCCCCUUUGUGAGGCUGCUUCUGCCUGAGAUUUUUUCUCUGUUAAAAGGGAGUUUUUCAUUCAUUCUAUUGCCAGUAGCUUGGUUGUGGGGUUCCAUGUGCUUGA